AAGAUUCUGGAAUUGCACAUUUCAUGAUCAUAAGACUCAUGCGAUUUGAGCUUUCCCACUUCUCCAUCUCCUUCUUGUCAUCAGAAGAAGAUGUAUCCUGAAGAGUAGUAGGUUUCUCAAUCCGAAGUGCAAAGUCUAGAUCCAUGCAACCGAGAACUAUCAUAAUGUUUUCUUUCCAUUCCUUAAAAUUUGUGCCAUUAAGCACAGGGAUGCUGUUAAUGUUCG
This 225-nucleotide long non-coding RNA is filed under the name Nicotiana benthamiana. RNAcentral describes it as "long non-coding RNA (NBEN_LNC019518)". The record is from RNAcentral. Lineage: Eukaryota; Viridiplantae; Streptophyta; Magnoliopsida; Solanales; Solanaceae.